CGGAGACGCUACGGACUUAAAAAAUCCGUGGAUUUUAAAAAUCGUGAGGGUUCAAGUCCCUCUAUCCCCAC
This 71-nucleotide transfer RNA is filed under the name Cuscuta indecora var. attenuata. Its description in RNAcentral is "partial tRNA-Leu". The record is from RNAcentral. Lineage: Eukaryota; Viridiplantae; Streptophyta; Magnoliopsida; Solanales; Convolvulaceae.